UCAAAAUAUGUCACAUGACGUUUUUUCAUUUGCCAAAGUUGCGUAAUAAUUUUUUUUAAUGUCCAUUACAAAAUGAAUUAAAAAUAAAAAAAAUUAAUACUUUAUGUAUUAAAUUAAAAUAAAAAAAUUUAAGUACCAAAAUAAAAUAAAAAUUGAGUAUACUUCAUAGACUAAAUCAUAACAUAACCCUUUUUAAAAAUCCCCAUGUCAAAAUUAAUGAACAAAUUUAAAAAAAUACGAGGUUGGUGGUCGGUGGGAGAAGCGUGUGCCGUGUGCCUCCCCAGCUCACCUCCC
Molecule: long non-coding RNA, 294 nt
Filed under: Gossypium raimondii (Peruvian cotton)
Lineage: Eukaryota; Viridiplantae; Streptophyta; Magnoliopsida; Malvales; Malvaceae
Description: long non-coding RNA (GRAI_LNC010330)
Source: RNAcentral